Molecule: ribosomal RNA, 422 nt
Filed under: uncultured bacterium
Lineage: Bacteria
Description: bacterial SSU rRNA
Rfam family: Bacterial small subunit ribosomal RNA
Source: RNAcentral
UGAGGAAUAUUGGUCAAUGGGGGCAACCCUGAACCAGCCAAGUCGCGUGAAGGAUGAAGGUCUUAUGGAUUGUAAACUUCUUUUACACGGGGAUAAAGUGGGGGACGUGUCCCCCUUUGCAUGUACCGUGUGAAUAAGGAUCGGCUAACUCCGUGCCAGCAGCCGCGGUAAUACGGAGGAUCCGAGCGUUAUCCGGAUUUAUUGGGUUUAAAGGGUGCGCAGGCGGGAUGUUAAGUCGGCGGUGAAAUUUUGCAGCUCAACUGUAAAAGUGCCUUCGAUACUGGCCUCCUUGAGUGUGGAUGAAGUAGGCGGAAUUUGUGGUGUAGCGGUGAAAUGCUUAGAUAUCACGAGGAACUCCGAUUGCGCAGGCAGCUUACUAGGCCACAACUGACGCUCAUGCACGAAGGCGUGGGGAUCAAACA